UACGAGGGGGGCAAGCGUUGUUCGGAUUUAUUGGGCGUAAAGGGUGCGUAGGCGGUUUGGCAAGUCUUAUGUGAAAUCUUUGGGCUCAACCCAAAGUCUGCAUAAGAAACUGCCGGGCUUGAGUAUGGGAGAGGUGAGUGGAAUUUCCGGUGUAGCGGUGAAAUGCGUAGAUAUCGGAAGGAACACCUGUGGCGAAAGCGGCUCACUGGACCAUUACUGACGCUGAGGCACGAAAGCUAGGGGAGCAAACAGG
RNAcentral lists this ribosomal RNA (253 nucleotides) under uncultured bacterium. RNAcentral's name for it is "partial 16S ribosomal RNA". It matches the Rfam family "Bacterial small subunit ribosomal RNA", at positions 524 to 776 of the family's 1533-position model. The record is from RNAcentral.